UAUUGGUCAAUGGGCGCAAGCCUGAACCAGCCAUCCCGCGUGAAGGAAGAAGGCGCUAUGCGUUGUAAACUUCUUUUCCAGGGAAAUAAAAUCCGGUACGUGUACCGGAUUGAAGGUACCCUGGGAAUAAGCAUCGGCUAACUCCGUGCCAGCAGCCGCGGUAAUACGGAGGAUGCAAGCGUUAUCCGGAUUUAUUGGGUUUAAAGGGUGCGUAGGCGGGAAGAUAAGUCAGUGGUGAAAUCCUGCAGCUUAACUGUAGAAUUGCCGUUGAUACUGUUUUUCUUGAGUGUGGUCAAGGAAGGCGGAAUGUGUAAUGUAGCGGUGAAAUGCUUAGAUAUUACACAGAACACCGAUUGCGAAGGCAGCUUUCUGGGCCGUUACUGACGCUGAUGCACGAAAGCGUGGGGAUCGAACAGG
RNAcentral lists this ribosomal RNA (417 nucleotides) under uncultured bacterium. Its description in RNAcentral is "bacterial SSU rRNA". It matches the Rfam family "Bacterial small subunit ribosomal RNA", at positions 362 to 776 of the family's 1533-position model. The record is from RNAcentral.